UUUGACCUGAAAUCAGGUAGGGCUACCCGC
RNAcentral lists this ribosomal RNA (30 nucleotides) under Papiliotrema flavescens. Its description in RNAcentral is "partial 26S rRNA". Lineage: Eukaryota; Fungi; Basidiomycota; Tremellomycetes; Tremellales; Rhynchogastremaceae. The record is from RNAcentral.